GAUGAACGCUGGCGGCGUGCCUAAUACAUGCAAGUCGAGCGAACAGAUGAGGAGCUUGCUCCUCUGACGUUAGCGGCGGACGGGUGAGUAACACGUGGAUAACCUACCUAUAAGACUGGGAUAACUUCGGGAAACCGGAGCUAAUACCGGAUAAUAUAUUGAACCGCAUGGUUCAAUAGUGAAAGACGGUUUUGCUGUCACUUAUAGAUGGAUCCGCGCCGCAUUAGCUAGUUGGUAAGGUAACGGCUUACCAAGGCAACGAUGCGUAGCCGACCUGAGAGGGUGAUCGGCCACACUGGAACUGAGACACGGUCCAGACUCCUACGGGAGGCAGCAGUAGGGAAUCUUCCGCAAUGGGCGAAAGUCUGACGGAGCAACGCCGCGUGAGUGAUGAAGGUCUUCGGAUCGUAAAACUCUGUUAUGAGGGAAGAACAAAUGUGUAAGUAACUAUGCACGUCUUGACGGUACCUAAUCAGAAAGCCACGGCUAACUACGUG
RNAcentral lists this ribosomal RNA (497 nucleotides) under uncultured bacterium. Its description in RNAcentral is "partial 16S ribosomal RNA". It matches the Rfam family "Bacterial small subunit ribosomal RNA", at positions 28 to 507 of the family's 1533-position model. The record is from RNAcentral.